AGCUCUCUUGCUGAGGAGGACAGCCGUAGCAGUGAAGGAAAGCACAGAACAGUGUUGAAGACUCAUCAGAAUGGCCCCCUCAGGUACUGAAACGAUAGCCGCACUGGAGGCAAUGUGUGUUUAAAAUUCUCGCUUUGAAUCCGAAGAGUAAGAAACAUUCUCAUACCCACAUGAUUGUCUGACACUCUUUUGAAAAUAAUGAAGUGCUUCUAUGAGGCCAGAAAAUCAUAAAUGAAAUUAUCAUUUCACAUUUACCUAAACAAAUGUAUUUGAUAUACUGAAGCAAAUGUAGCAAGUGGGUUUAUAUCAUUAAGUAGUUUUUUAUCAUUAAAUUUAUACUUUUGCCUGUAUAUCUUUAGCUAAUAAUGAUGGCAAAUUUUGAUGUUAUACUAUAAGAAAAGUGAUAAUUUAAUGUGGAAAACUUGCAUAAUAAUAAAUAGCAAAUAAGAAAGAAACAGAGGCUGGAGAGAGAAAUUUUCUGCUUU
Molecule: long non-coding RNA, 485 nt
Organism: Peromyscus leucopus (white-footed mouse)
Lineage: Eukaryota; Metazoa; Chordata; Mammalia; Rodentia; Cricetidae
Exons: 3
Source: RefSeq, a predicted model, not a curated record